RNAcentral lists this ribosomal RNA (253 nucleotides) under uncultured bacterium. RNAcentral describes it as "partial 16S ribosomal RNA". It matches the Rfam family "Bacterial small subunit ribosomal RNA", at positions 524 to 776 of the family's 1533-position model. The record is from RNAcentral.
UACGUAGGGUGCGAGCGUUAAUCGGAAUUACUGGGCGUAAAGCGUGCGCAGGCGGUUGUGCAAGACCGAUGUGAAAUCCCCGGGCUUAACCUGGGAAUGGCAUUGGUGACUGCACGGCUAGAGUGUGUCAGAGGGGGGUAGAAUUCCACGUGUAGCAGUGAAAUGCGUAGAUAUCCGGAGGAACACCAGUGGCGAAAGCGGCCACCUGGACUGCACCUGACGCUGACACGCGAAAGCUAGGGGAGCGAACGGG